Molecule: ribosomal RNA, 253 nt
Filed under: uncultured bacterium
Lineage: Bacteria
Description: partial 16S ribosomal RNA
Rfam family: Bacterial small subunit ribosomal RNA
Source: RNAcentral
UACGAAGGUGGCUAGCGUUGUACGGAAUUACUGGGCGUAAAGCGCGCGUAGGCGGUGAGGCAAGUCGAAAGUGAAAUCCCGGGGCUUAACUCCGGAACUGCUUUCGAAACUACCUUGCUUGAAUGUGGCAGAGGAUGAUGGAAUUCCACGUAUAGAGGUGAAAUUCGUAGAUAUGUGGAGGAACACCAGUGGCGAAGGCGGUCAUCUGGGCCAACAUUGACGCUGAGGCGCGAAAGCGUGGGGAGCAAACAGG